RNAcentral lists this microRNA precursor (78 nucleotides) under Schistosoma haematobium. Its description in RNAcentral is "mir-3492 microRNA precursor family". It matches the Rfam family "mir-3492 microRNA precursor family". Lineage: Eukaryota; Metazoa; Platyhelminthes; Trematoda; Strigeidida; Schistosomatidae. The record is from Rfam by way of RNAcentral.
AGCCUUCUGUAUCCGCGCUGAGGUUUCGUCACACACUAAACGACAAGGGUUGAUGAGACUUCCAAGAUAAGUGAAGCG